UCUGUAAAGUUCCUUCGACGAGUCGAGUAGUUUGGGAAUGCUGCUCUAAAUGGGGGGUAUAUGUCUUCUAAAGCUAAAUACCGGCCAGAGAGCGAUAGCGCACAAGUAGAGUGAUCGAAAGAUGAAAAGCACUUUGAAAAGAGAGUUAAAAAGUACGUGAAAUUGUUGAAAGGGAAGCGUUUAUGACCAGACUUGGGCUUGGUUAAUCAUCUGGGGUUCUCCCCAGUGCACUUUUCCAGUCCAGGCCAGCAUCAGUUUUCCCCGGGGGAUAAAGACUUCGGGAAUGUGGCUCUCUUCGGGGAGUGUUAUAGCCCGUUGUGUAAUACCCUGGGGGGGACUGAGGUUCGCGCAUCUGCAAGGAUGCUGGCGUAAUGGUCAUCAACGACCCGUCUUGAAACACGGACCAAGGAGUCGUCUUCGUAUGCGAGUGUUCGGGUGUCAAACCCCUACGCGUAAUGAAAGUGAACGCAGGUGAGAGCUUCGGCGCAUCAUCGACCGAUCCUGAUGUUCUCGGAUGGAUUUGAGUAAGAGCAUACGGGGCCGGACCCGAAAGAAGGUGAACUAUGCCUGUAUAGGGUGAAGCCAGAGGAAACUCUGGUGGAGGCUCGCAGCGGUUCUGACGUGCAAAU
Molecule: ribosomal RNA, 629 nt
Filed under: Fusarium proliferatum
Lineage: Eukaryota; Fungi; Ascomycota; Sordariomycetes; Hypocreales; Nectriaceae
Description: eukaryotic LSU rRNA
Rfam family: Eukaryotic large subunit ribosomal RNA
Source: RNAcentral